UACGUAGGGUGCAAGCGUUGUCCGGAAUUAUUGGGCGUAAAGGGCUCGUAGGCGGUCCAUCGCGUCGGGGGUGAAAAGCUGGGGCUUAACCCCAGUCCUGCUUCCGAUACGGGUGGACUAGAGGUAGGUAGGGGAGAACGGAAUUCCUGGUGUAGCGGUGAAAUGCGCAGAUAUCAGGAGGAACACCGGUGGCGAAGGCGGUUCUCUGGGCCUUAACUGACGCUGAGGAGCGAAAGCAUGGGGAGCAAACAGG
This 253-nucleotide ribosomal RNA is filed under the name uncultured bacterium. RNAcentral's name for it is "partial 16S ribosomal RNA". It matches the Rfam family "Bacterial small subunit ribosomal RNA", at positions 524 to 776 of the family's 1533-position model. The record is from RNAcentral.